CGUCGUCGCCAUUUUUGAUGUGGCAAGCAAGCGAUCGGAGAAGAUGCCUUAUUCAUGUGCUGCGUGGAAUUAUACCAACCGGUUUACAAUUGAAAUCAGAUCUGCUGGCAUUACCUUUCACAUGUAAGAAUAAAAAUUGCGUAUGGUUGUAUUUGCUCGGUUUAAUGCCAUUUUACGAAGACAUAUUUGCAGACUAAAUGGCUCCUACUGUGAAUUACUGCUGAUAAUACUAUGAAUUCCAGUCUCCAAACAACCAAGAAGUAUUUCCAAUUUAACAAAAUUGACCCGAAGUUCCUACACUUCAUAGCCACACUAUGUGAAGGAACCAGUGAUGUAUUUUGUAUUACACUGUGAGAUAAUUUCUAUAGUUUAUCAUUCGCUUUAACCUGUGGCUACCAGACGUCUCAGACCCCAAAGAAGGCACAGGAGACCCUGUGGCCGGACUGUUCCCAGCUUGUCCGAGAGGCAGAGUCCCUGCCUGUGCCCAGUGAUAUCACAGGCACGCACGUACAUUGAAACAGGACCACUCCUAUGCUCUGCCAAUACCCAAUGACGAUCUGAUGGCCAGACUAAGGGAAGCGUUUUCUAUGGUGGGGAGUGUGAAAAGAGAGAGGAAGGAAAAGAACACUGUGACUCGUCUUCUUGAGGAUCUCAGGGUGAAGAAACUCAUAAAGGAAGAGUUAAAUGAGGAGCUUGAUGUGCACUCAGAUCUUGAUGAUUCCAAAACAGCGUCAGCGGUGCGUCUGCUACCACUUUACCCAGAAUCACUUGGAACUCCUCUUUAAUUCAAUCAGGGUGUCAGGAAUGGAUUUUCUUAUUUUUUACUCUGUGGUUUGUCUUUAUGGAUGCCUUUUAUAUACUGUGUAUGUAAGUGUGGUGUUUUGUGUGUGCUUUAGGGCUGAUAUAACAACCCCUCAGCCAGCUGGUUCCAGGCCAUUUUCAACCAUUUAAAGGUGCAGUGCGGUGUGUCUCCAAGCACAUGAGGAUGAGACCGUGUACCUGUCUGCUUUUGAGAUGUUCUCUUGUCCAGCUGCAGAAGAAACGGAAGACCUACUGCUUUGUGUGUGACCAUAGCUAUCUACUAACUUGCUUUGGUGGUCUUGUGGACUAUGCACUGGUGUACAUCUCAGGGUUUGAUGUUUGCCAUAUGCUGAAAAAGCUGUCCUGUGAUGUGUGACGUGGUAGUUUGGUGACUGAUGCUGUACCUGCAUCAUUUGCUCUGAGUUACCACUUGCUCACACUAAAAAACAAAGGAGGGCUGGUAAUUCCUCCUGAGGGCACGGCAGUGGUGGUCAGAUCAGCUGAGCAUUUUGUUUGCCUGAUGAUGUCAUGGCAAGUUGUCAAAGUGGCCUUGUUCUGUUAGUGUGUCUGGGCUGAGAUUGGUUCUCAGGGUGUGUUUUUUCUGGGUGGUGGGGCACAUUUAAGAAACACAGUUUGGACGUGACAACCACCAUUUUGUGCUGAUGUCACUAGUUGUGUCCCUCCACAAACUGAGGCUGCACCAUGUUGCCAAACUGAACACUCUUUUGUUGCAAAGUGGCAACACACGGCAAAAAAAAACUUUUCCAAGGUUUUUAACUUACACACACACACACAGAGAGACAGACAGCAGUUCAAUUC
This is a long non-coding RNA of Girardinichthys multiradiatus, 1620 nucleotides long. RefSeq lists it as uncharacterized. The transcript has 4 exons. The record is from RefSeq and is a predicted model, not a curated record. NCBI's taxonomy places the organism in Eukaryota, Metazoa, Chordata, Actinopteri, Cyprinodontiformes, Goodeidae.